CCUUUUAGGGAGACCUACCUACUCAGAUUCUGAAAGCACAAUGCAAAUAAGGAUUGAGUUGGUCAUCCCAAGGUCGUUCGAGGUAUGAGUGUAAGGCUUUCAAACUAUUAAAGGUUCGGUUAUGGGCUAUUAGCUCAGGUGGUUAGAGCGCACCCCUGAUAAGGGUGAGGUCCCUGGUUCGAGUCCAGGAUGGCCCACCUUAGCAAUUGCAUGGGGGUUUAGCUCAGUUGGUAGAGCGCCUGCUUUGCAAGCAGGAUGUCAGCGGUUCGAGUCCGCUAACCUCCACUGGAGUUAAUAGAACAAGAGUUAGGAAGAUUCAGCAACUUAUCUAGGUUUUGCUAGAGAGCCUGCUGGAUUCGUCCAGUCAGAACCAUGAAAACUGCAUAGCGAAAUAAGAUUUCUGUCAGGUAGUAGAAGUUCAUCUGAUUUAGGUUAGAUGAAUCAUCACAGACACCAAUGAAUUUUGU
RNAcentral lists this transfer RNA (467 nucleotides) under Oculatella sp. ATA3-4Q-KO15A. Its description in RNAcentral is "16S-23S ribosomal RNA intergenic spacer". The stretch from base 213 to 285 matches the Rfam family "tRNA". Lineage: Bacteria; Bacillati; Cyanobacteriota; Cyanophyceae; Oculatellales; Oculatellaceae. The record is from RNAcentral.